Molecule: non-coding RNA, 73 nt
Organism: Lophium mytilinum
Lineage: Eukaryota; Fungi; Ascomycota; Dothideomycetes; Mytilinidiales; Mytilinidiaceae
Source: the annotation of a GenBank genome assembly
GGCGCAAUGGUGUGAAUGGAAACAUAUCCUCUGCUGGCAGAGGAAGAUGGGGGUUCGAGUCCUUCUUGCGCUA